Molecule: ribosomal RNA, 427 nt
Filed under: grassland soil bacterium TSA-1
Lineage: Bacteria
Description: bacterial SSU rRNA
Rfam family: Bacterial small subunit ribosomal RNA
Source: RNAcentral
UGCUCCUUUGACGUUAACGGCGGACGGGUUAAGUAACACGUGGGUAACCCUACCUAUAAGACUUGGAAUAACUCCGGGAAACCGGGGCUAAUGCCGGAUAACAUUUAGAACCGCAUGGUUCUAAAGUGAAAGAUGGUUUUGCUAUCACUUAUAGAUGGACCCGCGCCGUAUUAGCUAGUUGGUAAGGUAAUGGCUUACCAAGGCAACGAUACGUAGCCGACCUGAGAGGGUGAUCGGCCACACUGGAACUGAGACACGGUCCAGACUCCUACGGGAGGCAGCAGUAGGGAAUCUUCCGCAAUGGGCGAAAGCCUGACGGAGCAACGCCGCGUGAGUGAUGAAGGGUUUCGGCUCGUAAAACUCUGUUAUUAGGGAAGAACAAACGUGUAAGUAACUGUGCACGUCUUGACGGUACNUAAUCAGAAAG